GGGAUGAACACAAUCCGUACAUGGGAAGUUUUGACAUAGUUCUUCACGGACAAGAGCUUAACACUGAGCCAGCUGGAAGAAGAAAGAUAGUCCAGUGUCACAAGCAGCACAGUGAAGAGUGGACUGGGAGUUGA
Molecule: long non-coding RNA, 134 nt
Filed under: Mustela putorius furo (domestic ferret)
Lineage: Eukaryota; Metazoa; Chordata; Mammalia; Carnivora; Mustelidae
Description: lncRNA (ENSMPUG00000025766.1)
Source: RNAcentral